GAGAUUCGUAGCUGCGCACUCCUCCUCCCAAGCGCGCUGCGAUAGACUGGCAGCAACUCCUCCUCCCAGUUGCCAGUCACUAUAACACGCCCGCCGGAUCCUCCCCCGGCGGGCGUUUUAU
This 121-nucleotide small RNA is filed under the name Rhizobium fabae. RNAcentral describes it as "ar14". It matches the Rfam family "Alphaproteobacterial ar14". From Rfam's summary of the family: Smr14C2 was renamed NfeR1 (Nodule Formation Efficiency RNA) highly expressed in salt stress and during the symbiotic interaction on legume roots. The record is from RNAcentral. Lineage: Bacteria; Pseudomonadati; Pseudomonadota; Alphaproteobacteria; Hyphomicrobiales; Rhizobiaceae. RNAcentral also lists the same sequence under 1 other name.